GACGAACGCUGGCGGCGUGCUUAACACAUGCAAGUCGAACGAGACGAUUGAAAGCUUGCUUUUGAAAGUCGAGUGGCAAACGGGUGAGUAACGCGUAGACAACCUGCCGUAAAGAUGGGGACAACAGUUCGAAAGGACUGCUAAUACCGCAUAAGCCCACGGCCCGGCAUCGGGUUGAGGGAAAAGGAUUUAUUCGCUUCAGGAUGGACUCGCGUCCAAUUAGCUAGUUGGUGAGGUAACGGCCCACCAAGGCGACGAUUGGUAGCCGGACUGAGAGGUUGAACGGCCACAUUGGGACUGAGACACGGCCCAG
This 313-nucleotide ribosomal RNA is filed under the name uncultured bacterium. Its description in RNAcentral is "bacterial SSU rRNA". It matches the Rfam family "Bacterial small subunit ribosomal RNA", at positions 28 to 334 of the family's 1533-position model. The record is from RNAcentral.